This 562-nucleotide ribosomal RNA is filed under the name uncultured bacterium. Its description in RNAcentral is "bacterial SSU rRNA". It matches the Rfam family "Bacterial small subunit ribosomal RNA", at positions 338 to 916 of the family's 1533-position model. The record is from RNAcentral.
CCUACGGGAGGCAGCAGUGGGGAAUAUUGGACAAUGGGCGAAAGCCUGAUCCAGCAAUGCCGCGUGAGUGAUGAAGGCCUUCGUGUCGUAAAGCUCUUUUACCAGGGAUGAUAAUGACAGUACCUGGAGAAUAAGCUCCGGCUAACUCCGUGCCAGCAGCCGCGGUAAUACGGAGGGAGCUAGCGUUGUUCGGAAUUACUGGGCGUAAAGAGUACGUAGGCGGUUAUUCAAGUCAGAGGUGAAAGCCCGGGGCUCAACCCCGGAACUGCCUUUGAAACUAGAUAACUAGAGUCUUGGAGAGGUUAGUGGAAUUCCGAGUGUAGAGGUGAAAUUCGUAGAUAUUCGGAAGAACACCAGUGGCGAAGGCGACUAACUGGACAAGUACUGACGCUGAGGUACGAAAGCGUGGGGAGCAAACAGGAUUAGAUACCCUGGUAGUCCACGCCGUAAACGAUGAUAACUAGUUGUUCGGUCACUUGGUGACUGAGUGACGCAGCUAACGCAUUAAGUUAUCCGCCUGGGGAGUACGGUCGCAAGAUUAAAACUUAAAGGAAAUUGACGG